Molecule: small nucleolar RNA, 136 nt
Organism: Camelus dromedarius (Arabian camel)
Lineage: Eukaryota; Metazoa; Chordata; Mammalia; Artiodactyla; Camelidae
Source: Ensembl
AGCCUCAUUCUAGAUGAAAAUGGGCACUGUUGUUCAUGGUGUCCAGAAAUUGUUAAUGUGGCUACAUUGAGAACACAGGUUUUGCUUCCAUCACAGUAAUUUUAUUGCAGUGGUGACAAUGAGACCUGUAACAUUU